Molecule: long non-coding RNA, 1033 nt
Organism: Dalotia coriaria
Lineage: Eukaryota; Metazoa; Arthropoda; Insecta; Coleoptera; Staphylinidae
Exons: 4
Source: RefSeq, a predicted model, not a curated record
AUGAAGCUAAGGUAAUAGUAUCUUCGAGACAGUUAAAAUUGAAUAAUUUUGUAACAUCAUUGAAAAUAUUUACUAAUUAUACGCUUCAAUUGACUAAAAAUAACAAAAUAACACAUAAUAUUAUGUUUACCACAGAUGAAUCAGUUCCAAACAAAGUUAGAAAUUUACAAGUUAUUACUUCAACACCUAGUAAACUUAGUGUUGCCUGGGAAGCACCUUCCCCUGCUUUGGGAAUCAUUACCUAUUAUGUGGUCACAUGGAUGUUCCAUAUUCCAUGAUAGGAAUACAAAUAACACAUCAAAUAUCCAAUUCAAAAAUGUGACAAUAACUGCAAUGGAAUUAGAUGAUCUACAACCAUAUUCAAUUUAUAAUAUAUCAAUAUCAGCAGUUGCCAAGAAAGGUCAAGGAGACCUUGAGACUGUUAUAGGAUACACAGAUGCAACUAAAACAAUUGACAUAAAUUCUUUUAAUUAUAAAAUUACUUCUUUGGAAACUUUGAUACUAAUAGGUUUAAUUGUCGAGUGUGAAAAUUGGAAUGGCCCAAUCUAUCUGAAUGCAUAUGCUAGCUGCAAGAGUGAGUGGUGUGAUGGAGAAGAGGUGAAUGGGACUCAAUACAUGCAAUACAAUGACAUUGCUACAAUUGAAAAUUUACUUCCAUAUACAAAUUACAAAUUAGAAGUAAAUAUAUUUCGGAAUAAACUGGACGCAAUUAAUAAUUCUAUCAAAUUUUUGUCAACUGCUGUGAUGACAUCAUCAAGAGUACCAAAACAAAUACCAUUCGCGGAAGUGUAUAGCUUAUCUGAAACAAGUUUAUCAUUGAGAUGGAGUCCACCUUAUCCACCAACUGGAAUACUGGAUUCAUUUGCAAUAAAAUAUUAUUACAUUUUAGGAAGACAUAGCACGGUACAAACCAAUUAUGAUUCUUUGAAUCCAUGUAAAGUAUGGCCAAAUAUUUAUUGCACUACAUUAACUAAUCUUACGACAGACAAGAACUACAUUAUAUCAAUUACUGCGCGUAAUCAGAAUAUAUCUC